This 497-nucleotide ribosomal RNA is filed under the name uncultured bacterium. Its description in RNAcentral is "partial 16S ribosomal RNA". It matches the Rfam family "Bacterial small subunit ribosomal RNA", at positions 28 to 507 of the family's 1533-position model. The record is from RNAcentral.
GAUGAACGCUGGCGGCGUGCCUAAUACAUGCAAGUCGAGCGAACAGACGAGGAGCUUGCUCCUCUGACGUUAGCGGCGGACGGGUGAGUAACACGUGGAUAACCUACCUAUAAGACUGGGAUAACUUCGGGAAACCGGAGCUAAUACCGGAUAACAUGUUGAACCGCAUGGUUCAACAGUGAAAGACGGUCUUGCUGUCACUUAUAGAUGGAUCCGCGCCGCAUUAGCUAGUUGGUAAGGUAACGGCUUACCAAGGCAACGAUGCGUAGCCGACCUGAGAGGAUGAUCGGCCACACUGGAACUGAGACACGGUCCAGACUCCUACGGGAGGCAGCAGUAGGGAAUCUUCCGCAAUGGGCGAAAGCCUUACGGAGCAACGCCGCGUGAGUGAAGAAGGUCUUCGGAUCGUAAAACUCUGUUAUUAGGGAAGAACAAAUGUGUAAGUAACUAUGCACGUCUUGACGGUACCUAAUCAGAAAGCCACGGCUAACUACGUG